Molecule: long non-coding RNA, 1459 nt
Organism: Vitis riparia (riverbank grape)
Lineage: Eukaryota; Viridiplantae; Streptophyta; Magnoliopsida; Vitales; Vitaceae
Exons: 2
Source: RefSeq, a predicted model, not a curated record
CAGAGGGAAGGACUGGCAGCACGCAUAGGAAGAUUUCAGAGGGAAGAAGGAAGAAGGAGUGACCGGGGCAAAAGAGGAUUUUUAUAUGAGAAAUCGUCUUCAGAGGUGAGAGGGAAGAUAGCUGGAAGCCAAGCCAUUGCGGCCAAGACUGCCCAGAAUUUAAAAUCCAUUGGGUCUGGAGGAGAGGCACAGAGGAGAGGGGACUUUCAGCAUGCAUUAAGAACGAAGUGGAAUUAGAAAAGAGAAGCAAUCUCUGCUUCUUCAGAAAAGUUCUAAGGGAGACGUGCAUCACUAAUUAAUUACGUUAGAGAGGAGCUUUUGAAUACUGCUGAAACCUGAGACUUAGAACCCAAAUUCGGAAGCGGCAAGCUGGCUUGAUGACUCUAAUGAGAAUUUUGUUUCAUAGGAAAAAUGACUUGAUAGCGAUUGAAUAUGGAUUGAUGGGGAAUGGAUACUUCAAUGCGUCCUACAGUGGAUUACAAGUUUGGUUCCCUUUAGGGAAGGCAUGUCCAAGACAGGGGAGGGCAAAGUUUUGUGUUCGUGACAUCCCAGGAGCAGUCAGGGUGGCUAAGACCUUGUCGAUGGAUCUCAGUUGUUGUUCUGAACAAUCUGAAUUCAAGCCUGUCGAAUUUAAGCAGUGCUUUUGAGAGUUAUGGGACUGUGGAAUAACUACAGCUGAUCCAGCUUAUUUCACGACCUUUUACUCUAGCGUCAACCUGAAUCCAAGGCUUCCUCCACCUCUCAUUUAGUGGGAGAAUCAAUGCCUGUUCCCUAUCCACUUACAAAGAGGAGUCUGACGACGAUAGGCCAUCCCGGAAAACCUCAGAUGAUUGGCCAGAAAGCAACAGUGCAGCUAUGCCUAGACAGAGGACAGUUUCUUCAGCAGAUCGUCAUAAAAGUUCAGUUGAUCUGAUACAAGAGGACUUCCCCCGCACCUCAUCACCUAUAUAUAAUUAGUUUCCUUCCUCAAGCUAUGCAGCAAUGGAUGAACUAUUUAAUCGCAUUACCUCCACAUAAAGAUCUCUCAGGGAAUGAACCACUCUUAUAAUGACAUGGAAAAACUUCCCCAUGCACUCUCCAAGUUCCCUUCAGUUGAAGUACAAUCUAUGAUGCAGUCUCCUAGGCUCACCCCUCCUCAGUAUGCAACAGCAGCAACGUAUAUCGCUUCAGGAAGUCCAUUUUAUCCUAAUUUGCAGUCAGUGAUAGAUCCUCAUCCGCAACUGUUAGUCUAAUAUCAAAGGAGAAGCCUAUUAUCCUUAGUCAUGCAGGAAUUGAAGAUUGCAUUGGCCUUCCCCCAAAGCUGCAAUUCCCCCUUUCAUCACAGAACUUGAAUUUGGAUGGAACUCUCAAAUUUGGCUUUUUCUCUGUUUAUACCUUUUAAAGGUCACUCAGUACAUUGUUACAUCUAAGUCCCUUUGAGUUGGAAGAUUCUGUGGGAGCAUUAAGAUGCUUUUUUUUU